Acanthosepion pharaonis is the source of this 95-nucleotide non-coding RNA. The record is from the annotation of a GenBank genome assembly. Lineage: Eukaryota; Metazoa; Mollusca; Cephalopoda; Sepiida; Sepiidae.
UUGAAACAACGGUUCCCAUAAGAUCAUCGAAGUUAAGCGACGUCGAACUCGGUUAGUAUCUAGAUGGGUAACCGCUUAGGAAUAUCAAGUGCUAU